CUCUUCCUUCUAAAAAAAGCAUGCAGAAGGAAAUUUUCAGAGAUUAAAGAAUUCAACCCUCACCGUCGCUCUUCAUCUGCCUUCGCUGCGCCACCAUGUCUCCUCCAAGUGCUAACAACUUCUUCUGAUAUGAGAGCGCUCAUUCUGUUGAUGUGGGCAAUAAUGAAAUUGAAUUGUGGGUGACAAGACUCAUCAAGUCAUGGGACAAUAUAUGGAUAAACUUGAGGAAUAUAAAAAGGAGUUGAGAUAAACCCCGACAAAGUCUAAUUGGAGGUUGUAGG
Long non-coding RNA from Chenopodium quinoa (quinoa), 281 nucleotides. RefSeq lists it as uncharacterized. The record is from RefSeq and is a predicted model, not a curated record. NCBI's taxonomy places the organism in Eukaryota, Viridiplantae, Streptophyta, Magnoliopsida, Caryophyllales, Amaranthaceae. The transcript has 3 exons.